GACGAACGCUGGCGGCGUGCCUAAUACAUGCAAGUUGAGCGAUGAAGCUUGGUGCUUGCACCAAUUUGAAGAGCAGCGAACGGGUGAGUAACGCGUGGGGAAUCUGCCUUUGAGCGGGGGACAACAUUUGGAAACGAAUGCUAAUACCGCAUAACAACUUUAAACAUAAGUUUUAAGUUUGAAAGAUGCAAUUGCAUCACUCAAAGAUGAUCCCGCGUUGUAUUAGCUAGUUGGUGAGGUAACGGCUCACCAAGGCGAUGAUACAUAGCCGACCUGAGAGGGUGAUCGGCCACAUUGGGACUGAGACACGGCCCAAACUCCUACGGGAGGCAGCAGUAGGGAAACUUCGGCAAUUGACGAAAGUCUGACCGAACAACGCCGCGUGAGUGAAGAAGGGUUUCGGAUCGUAAAACUCUGUUGGUAGAGAAGAACGUUGGGGAGAGUGGAAAGCUCAUCAAGUGACGGUAACUACACAGAAAGGGACGGCUAACUACGUG
RNAcentral lists this ribosomal RNA (497 nucleotides) under uncultured bacterium. RNAcentral describes it as "partial 16S ribosomal RNA". It matches the Rfam family "Bacterial small subunit ribosomal RNA", at positions 28 to 507 of the family's 1533-position model. The record is from RNAcentral.